UGAGUAACGGCGAGCGAAAAGGGAAAAGCCCAGCACCGAACCCCGUCCUAGCCCUAAGGGACGUGGGAAUGUGGUGUUUAGGAGUGAGCGUGCUGGAGGUUUGGACGCAUGCAGCAAGUCCCCCUGACCGGGGCAUUGAUCCAUAGCGGGUGCGAGACCCAUAGUUGCUGUGUCUCCUCCGGAUGUGAUCUCCUUGGAGUCGUGUUGCUUGGGAGUGCAGCACUAAGUGGGAGGUAAACUCCUCCUAAGGCUAAAUACUGCCGUGAGACCGAUAGCAAACAAGUACCGUGAGGGAAAGUUGCAAAGAACUUUGAAGAGAGAGUUCAAGAGUACGUGAAACUGCUCAGAGGGAAACAGAUGGGCCCUCGAAAUCCUGUGGCGGGAGGAUUCAGUUUUGUCGUUGCGGACAUGACUGUGGAGUUGGAAAAAAAGUGUUUUCCCCUGACAAGAGGGAGAGCAGACUCCGCGUUGUGCUUUCGUAGCGGUAGACGCAAUUGUUUUCCCGUCCUGAGGACGCCGCGACCGGUUGGCGGGACGGCCUUAAGGGUGGACAAUGGCAGUUGACCGGCUAGUCAAGGCAUUCAGUUGCUGGACGCGGUAGGUUGUUAGCCAGUUCCACCUCCGGCAUGUACCCCGACCGAGGUAUCGCAAGGCCCCUGAUAUAUGGGCUUCAAUAACGCCUCCCUCUGGCACCCAGAGAGUGCGGGUAAAUGAAAGACGAAAGUGCGUCACUGGCCUGCUACUUUUGGUAUUCACACGGAUUCACUUCGUGGUUUCCAAAGUACUUCCAAAGGGCUUGGUUGGACUGC
Molecule: ribosomal RNA, 809 nt
Filed under: Epeirotypus brevipes
Lineage: Eukaryota; Metazoa; Arthropoda; Arachnida; Araneae; Theridiosomatidae
Description: eukaryotic LSU rRNA
Rfam family: Eukaryotic large subunit ribosomal RNA
Source: RNAcentral